GAUUAACAUCUCCAAGACGGUGCAGCCAAAGCUCCAAAUAUCAGCUUUAAAUCCAUCAUACUCUUUGUUUUUUUCAAUAACCUCGGGAGCCGUCCAGCCUGUUGUCCCGCAGCUAGAUUUCAUAAGAGCAUUUAAUUCGAGUACCUUUGCCAAACCAAAAUCUGCAAUUUUCACCUCACCUUUCUCAUGUAUUAGUAUGUUUUCUGGUUUGAUGUCACAGUGGAUGAUCUGGGUCUCACACUCUUCAUGCAAAUAGAAAAUGCCUCGGGCUAUGUUCUGGGCUAUUUCUACUCUUUCCUCCCAAGCUGGCUUUUGUUCUGAUGUGAAGAGAAAGUCUGCAAGUGAGCCAUUGCUCAUGUAUUCGUAAACAAGGAGCCUAUUAAUUCUAUCAUAGCAAUAACCAAAUAGCCGAACUAGGUUUUUGUGGUGAGUUCUCCCUAUUACUUUCAUCUCAUUCUGAAAUUCCCUGUCACCUUCUGCCACCACGUUCUCUAGCCUUUUGAUGGCCACUAUAAUGCCAUUUGAUAUGACACCUCUAAAAACUGUCCCAAAAGCUCCUUUACCAAUUUCAUCCUUGAAAUUAUUUGUUGCUGUAUUGAGCUCAUCAUAUGUAAAAGAUCACAAAGUGAUAUCUUCAAAUAGUGCAUUAUUUCCCUGACCUGAAAUCUUGUUGUAAUUCCAAACACGAUAUCUGUAUAAUAGAACACCAAAAAUUGCUAGAAGAAAAAUUGCAAGAGUUAGAAGUACAAUGCCUAUUAUAAGGAUAUUCAUUCGUUGCUCUUUCGUUUUUUUAAUGCUCUCAAUUGUUGUCUCUGAACUUCUAUUGCUUACCUUGAAAAAAGUUGCCAUUGGUUCAUGUCGUUGAGUUCUCCCAAAUCUCAGUGGAAGCCUUUGUUUUCUGCACUCUUGGUUCUUAUAUAAUGCAGCUUCACAGUUGCCGUCUGUUAAACAGUCCUCUCUGCAUUCUGUUUCUGUGCUAGCUUGGAACUUAGCAUAUGGGUUAUCUUCCCAUGAUACAGCUUCCAGUUCCUGAAUGAUAUAAUUACUCUUUCUGAAGCUCUUGCAAUCUUCAUUGCUGGAAUUCCUCUGGCAGCCCAAAUUCUUUUGGCCCUGGUCAAUGAAAUCAAAACCUGGAGGACAAGCACAUGAUGUGCCCUGAUCCACAAGAGUACAAUAUGCAUUCACACCGCACAAGCCAAUUGGAUAACACUUGUUGUCAGAUGACCACCACUCAAUUGACCAAUUACCAUAUUGAUCCAGAUUAUGUGAAUAUAACCGGAAUAUCCCAUCUACAUCAACUGUUGCACAGUAGAUCAGGUUACCAGAUAUGGUUCCCUUAUCCUUCAGAAUUUUUAUAUUAAAGCCGGUAGCAUUUAACAGGUAUAAAUGGCCAUUGCUAUCAAGAUUCAAACUCACAUUUUCUCCAGCCGUGUAUGUAUCUGAAUGCCAGUAGGCAUAAUCUUUUUCAGCAUAUUCUACUGGAUAUUGCACCAGGUUUCCAUCUGUUUGCAUAAUGAGUUGAAAUCUUCCACUUGAUUUAUUUGUGUUGGAGAUGCUAGACACUAGCUUUUUCCCUGCCAAAAGACGCUGUCCUGGUAAAAUGGAGUCUGUUGGAACAUCAAAACUCUGCCAUAUGAUUCUUGACUCUGAAUCAUAGAGCACAAAAUUACCGGAGUCAAGCAUGGAGGCUGAGAAGGCAGGCUGAGAACCUUCUGCAAUUGGUAUCUGCUGGCCUUGAUUCAGCUGCAAGAUUAGUCUACCAUCACUGCUCCAGCUCAGAGUCACAUCAUUUGGUAGUGGUGGAUCAUCACGGUUUGCUGUCCAUAUGACAGUUUUCUGCUGGAUUUUGGCAAACCAGAUGCCUACAGCAAAGCCAUCCCCUUUUGGGUAAAAUCCAAAAGCAAAAUGGCCAGAAUCUGAGGACCAAUAUGAAGAAUUGGGAGUGAGAGAAGAACCUAGGCUAAUGUUGGAAGUUCUUUGUUGAGCUGUUGCUCCAGAAAAUAUGGAACUUAGAAUGAGAAGAAACAGGACCAUUGCUACAAUUUUUGGAUUGUAGAACAUGUUAUUCUUGUCUCUCAAUUCCCGAGUUCUCCCCAAUAUUUCAAUUCCUCAAUAUAGGGAAUAGAAAAUUUGGUCAAUCUCUCUUGUUCAAUUUUCCAAACUAUUGAGAACACUCGACUUGAAGUUGUUAAGAAGUCAAUAAAAGUAGGCUUACCGUAUAAAGUUUUCUGAAGGGUAUGAAUCAUGCGCCCAUAAUUGAACGGCAUGGGUUGUUAAAAUGAGAACUGAUCUGUUCAGUUGGAAACGAGCAUGCCCAGCCGGAAACGUUUGUUAUUUUCUUUUCGUCAUUUUCGGGGCAGACCUACAUAUCCC
RNAcentral lists this unclassified non-coding RNA (2373 nucleotides) under Hevea brasiliensis (rubber tree). Lineage: Eukaryota; Viridiplantae; Streptophyta; Magnoliopsida; Malpighiales; Euphorbiaceae. The record is from RNAcentral.